Zalophus californianus (California sea lion) is the source of this 2563-nucleotide RNA transcript. It is a transcript of the gene named retinoic acid induced 2, with no coding region annotated. The transcript is spliced from 5 exons. The record is from RefSeq and is a predicted model, not a curated record. Lineage: Eukaryota; Metazoa; Chordata; Mammalia; Carnivora; Otariidae.
ACCCGUGCGGCGUCCCCGGGCCCCGCUCCUGCUCCCGGCGCCGCGCACUGGCUGGCGGGGCCGGAGAGGCGGCGCCGGCCGGCGGGGCGGGGGCCCCGAAGUGGGUUUCGGGCCGCCACCAGCGCUGGCACCCGGCACAGAGGGCGGCGCGCGGCAGACUCCGCGCCUGGGCACCGCACCCGGCCGCCUCCGGCUUUGCCGCUCUGCCCCGGCCCGGAAAACCCAGCGCCUUCCAGGCCCUUCGAAAGAUGGAUUCUGUUGACGUAUCUGGCGGCCCUGGCGAGCCGGGUGGAAAGUUGGGUUUUGCCAGAUCGCGCUGGGCUUGUCUUUGUGACGCUCGGCCAGCCCCGCAUCCCCCCGAAGCCGGGCCCAGUGGCACCAGAGCCGAGUGAUGGACGAUCUGCGGUCCCAGAACCUCUCCAUGGACAUGACCGACUCCUCUCCCGCCUUGGCCAAUAACAGACUGGAGAAUGGCAUGGCCCAGCUCAUCACCACCGAGGCCUGGAACAUCAACUCCACUGACCUGGUAAAGAAGGCCCUGGUGACCGUGCCGGCCCCAUCCAUCCUGAACCCCCCGGCCGAGUCUCAGAGCGGCAUGGCUCUGAAGGUGGCGGCCACCGUGCUGCAGCCCCUGUGCCUCGGGGAGAGCCCGGUGGUGAUGCCCAUUCACAUGCAGGUGGAGGGAAGCUCUGCGCCCGAGCUCAACCCUAAUGGCAAUGCUGCGUAUGUCAUGACCACGCAGGGCCCUGUGCAGCUGCCCGUGGUGCUGGAGCAGCACGUCUUCCAGCACCUCAACUCCCCUCUGGUCCUGCCGCAGGAGGCCCCGUGCUCCUCCAGUGCCAUCCACAACAACCUGUUCCAGGCGGCCGAGGACCCUGAGGCCCAGCCCCAGCUCUUGGACCUGCGGAUCCCCAGCCAGCCGCAGGAGCCCACGCUGCCGUUCGAAGCCGUGCUCCAGAACCUCUUCCCCUCACAGGGCGCUCUUGGCCCCCCACCCUGCCAGCCUCCUCCUGGAUACGCCCCUGUGCCCCCCCAGCCCUUUAACCCCCCCCUGUCCCCCCUGGUCCCUCCGGCCACCCUCUUGGUGCCCUACCCCGUGAUCGUCCCCUUGCCCGUGCCGGUCCCCAUCCCCAUCCCCAUCCCGGUGCCUCAGAGUCCUGAAUCCAAGCUCAGCUCCGCUUUCCCCAAGCCGCCAUCUUCCUUUGGCCUGCACCCCUUUAAAGGCCCCCAGCCCCCCCUGGAGAAGGAGGAACUGAAGCCCUUCGAUAUCCUACAGCCAAGGGAGUACUUCCAGCUUAGCCGCCACACGGUCAUCAAGAUGGGGAGUGAGAACGAGGCCUUGGAUCUGUCCAUGAAGUCGGUGCCCUGGCUCAGUAAGGCUGGCGAAGUCAGUCCCCCCAUCUGCCAGGAAGAUGCGGCCCUGGACCUGUCGCUGGCAGCCCACCGAAAGUCUGAGCCUCCCGUUGAGACACUGUAUGACAGCAGCGGGUCCGUGGACAGCCCAGGUCACGCCGCGAUUGAGAAACUUCCCAGUGGCAUGGAAGUGCCCUUUGCCCCUGCCACGGCCCCUGGGGCCUUGGCUCUGAUGGAUAGCCACGUGGGCAGCAGCCACCCCCCUCAGCUGCCCAGCCAGCCCAACCAACCCGGCGGCGAGGUCAAGGCCGAAAAUCACACUGAGACCGUGAGCGAGUCCCAGGCGGCCAAGGUCAUUGUCUCGGUGGAAGACGCCGUGCCUGCCAUCUUCUGCGGCAAGGUCAAAGGCCUCUCGGGCGUGUCCACCAAAAACUUCUCCUUCAAAAGAGAAGACUCCGUGCUUCAGGGCUAUGACAUCAACAGCCAAGGGGAAGAGCCCAUGGGCAGCACGGAGCCCCUUCGGAAACCCGUCAAAAACCGGAGCAUAAAGUUAAAGAAAGUGAACUCCCAGGAAAUACACAUGCUCCCGAUCAAAAAACAACGGCUGGCCACCUUUUUUCCAAGAAAAAUUUAGCUGCAAAGGACCUUCUUUUCAAAGGCAGUAAGAGCAUUGUUCUGAAUGACUGAAAGUCUUGCAAGUCAAAAGUAUUACUGAAGACCACUCAGAACGAGAGAACGUCUUAUCGUACUGUACUCACCCUUCUCCUUCUUCCUGUGAUGAUGCGUCAGGAUCGUCCGCUUCCAGAGCCGGGUUGACCUCGGGAACCCGAGGUCCGUGGAUGUGGGGAGACCACGAGAUAGAUAGGCGUAGUACCGGAGGAGAAUGUUCAGGAGAGAAGCUGUAGCUAGAAAGGUGUUGCUUUCUACUUGCUGAUUCGAUGUCAUUGGCCAUCGAUGCCAGUCCAUGAUCUGUCGUCCCUGUACUCGAACUUCUCACCACGUAAGGACUCCUGAUGCGUUGACUGCUUUCUGCCUGCGAUUCUAUGGUGCAGGGAUCAAUAUUAUCACUGGGCCCUACUCUUGGUUCAUCUGCAGAUCCCUUUCUCUCUAACCCUUUAUUUUCAAUGUUGAAAGCAAAUGACAAGGUGGGUAAAAGCAUAUAAUUGUUUUGAGAAUCCAUCCUUGAAUUUUUUUAAUAUGGCUGUUUAAU